This 729-nucleotide unclassified non-coding RNA is filed under the name Arabidopsis thaliana (thale cress). RNAcentral describes it as "partial miscellaneous RNA". The stretch from base 1 to 259 matches the Rfam family "Eukaryotic large subunit ribosomal RNA", at positions 3139 to 3401 of the family's 3401-position model. Lineage: Eukaryota; Viridiplantae; Streptophyta; Magnoliopsida; Brassicales; Brassicaceae. The record is from RNAcentral.
AAUCCGGGCUAGAAGCGACGCAUGCGCCCGCCGCCCGAUUGCCGACCCUCAGUAGGAGCUUAGGCUCCCAAAGGCACGUGUCGUUGGCUAAGUCCGUUCGGCGGAAGCGUCGUUCGGACCGCCUUGAAUUAUAAUUACCACCGAGCGGCGGGUAGAAUCCUUUGCAGACGACUUAAAUACGCGACGGGGUAUUGUAAGUGGCAGAGUGGCCUUGCUGCCACGAUCCACUGAGAUUCAGCCCUUUGUCGCUAAGAUUCGACCCUCCCCUAAAUCACUCCAAAAAAAACAAUCCCCAAUUCUACGCAAGUGUUUCUACACUAACAAAGCAACAGCUCCUUAACGAAUUCCCAACUUUACACGAGCUCGUCUCUCGAGGUUAAAUGUUAUUACUUGGUAAGAUUCCGGACCUCGCCAAGUGUUUUGAAAACCCGCAACGCUCGCAAAGGUGGAUAGUGAGAAUAAUAAGUGAAGAGACAGACUUGUCCAAAACGCCCACCACGAAGGUGCAUAGUGAGAAGAGUAAGUCAAGAGAUAGACUUGUCCAAAAAGAAACGGAAGAGAAAGCUUGGGGAGACGCUCACGAAGGUGCAUAGUGAGAAGAGUAAGUCAAGAGAUAGACUUGUUCAAAAAGAAACAGAAGAGAAUGCUUGGGGUUACACUCACGAAGGUGCAUAGUGAGAAGAGUAAGUCAAGAGACAGACUUGUUCGAAAAGAAACAAAAGAGAAUGG